Non-coding RNA from Myodes glareolus (Bank vole), 893 nucleotides. NCBI's taxonomy places the organism in Eukaryota, Metazoa, Chordata, Mammalia, Rodentia, Cricetidae. The record is from RefSeq and is a predicted model, not a curated record.
CCUCCUACCGCGUACAUGGGGCCUUCCAACACAGCAACACCUACAAGCGAACAGCAAAGAGGGAAGGACUUGAGAUGUUUUCAAACUCAUAUUUUAAUUAAAAUUAGUAAAAGGUCCGACACGAGGUUCGCUGUUCACAGAGGCUGAGAAGACACACAGAAGUGGGAGGACAUGCAGGGGAGUUUAGCACCAGGGAAGCCAGAGAAACAAGAGUUUACUGCAGCCAGUUCCGCUGACAACGUCAAAUGCACCGAGAGGAACAAAUAAAAAGCUAUGUCACUGAACUAGAAAAUGGCUUUAAGUCAGGAAAUGGCUGAACACAAAAGAAGGGGAAGGAACCAAAAGACUCGGAUCACCAACUGUUCACCUCUUAACUCUCAAGGUGUGCGCUGUGACAUCAAGACGCUGUGGGGAACUUAGAAAGGACCCUUGGGGAAAGGGUCUGGAAUUCGAACUCAAGCAUUAUAAGGCAGGAAAUUCCUAACUGGCAACAUGGCCCUGCACCUGUAAUUCUCCAGAUGUCAGAGAUCAGAAUUCCACGUCUGAGGGUGAGAGAAGAGGAGAAGGUGGUGACUAUUCCCAAGCAUGAGACGCUAGAAUACAUGAGUGCAUGUGAUCUCAAUUCUUCAGAAUGCCUACGCUGACAAUAACCAACUUAGAGAUUAUAAUAAUCAAAGCCUGCAGAAACUUUAAAGGGGAAAAAGUAACCAAAUGCCACGUGAGAAGUCAUCUGUGCCUUUACUAUCUAGAAACGCUUUAGAGUGAGGAUGAGUCAGACGGCUUUAACUUGUUACCUGGCAUGCCAGACUGACCGAGAAAAAUCCAUCUUAAAGAUAAGAACGAUUCCAGGAGAGGAGGAAUAAAAUCAUGAAUUUAUCAAUGCUUUUCCUUUA